GCUCAGUCAGUAGAGUGCUUGCUUAGUAUGCAAGAAACCCUGAGUUCGAUCCUCAG
This 56-nucleotide transfer RNA is filed under the name Neotoma lepida (desert woodrat). It matches the Rfam family "tRNA", at positions 10 to 63 of the family's 71-position model. Rfam says of the family: Transfer RNA (tRNA) molecules are approximately 80 nucleotides in length. Their secondary structure includes four short double-helical elements and three loops (D, anti-codon, and T loops). Further hydrogen bonds mediate the characteristic L-shaped molecular structure. tRNAs have two regions of fundamental functional importance: the anti-codon, which is responsible for specific mRNA codon recognition, and the 3' end, to which the tRNAs corresponding amino acid is attached (by aminoacyl-tRNA synthetases). tRNAs cope with the degeneracy of the genetic code in two manners: having more than one tRNA (with a specific anti-codon) for a particular amino acid; and 'wobble' base-pairing, i.e. permitting non-standard base-pairing at the 3rd anti-codon position. Lineage: Eukaryota; Metazoa; Chordata; Mammalia; Rodentia; Cricetidae. The record is from Rfam by way of RNAcentral.